UUUUUUUUUUUGCUUUUUGCUUUUUAGGGCUGCACCUGAGGCAUAUGGAGGUUACCAGGCUAGGGGUCCAAUUGGAGCUGCAGCUGCCUGCCUAUACCACAGCCACAGCAACAUCAGAUCCAAGCCCUGUCUGGGACCUACACCACAGCUCAUGGAAAUGCCGAAUCCUUAACGCACUGAACGAGGCCAGGGAUGGAACCUACAACCUCAUGGUUCCUAGUUGGAUUCAUUUCUACUGAGCCAUGUCAGGUACUCCCAUUUUAUUCUUAUUACGAAAAGAAAAUUCCUUUUACCUCUCUUAUGUUUCUUCCUCAAAUACUGUCAACAGUGUUAUUCACUGUGAAAUGAAAUAACCAAAAGCCAGGGGGAUCUUCCAAUUGAAAUACUGCACUGAAUAUUUAUCCUCUACCUAUUGUUUUUAAAAAUGAACUAUAGCAAGUAUCAAAGCAGUAGAGAUAAUAGCACAGAUGGUCAAAAAUAUUAGAAAACUGUACAAAAGAGUCUAUAAAUCAUACAAGAAAGAUCAAAUUGCUAAAAUGUGUCAUAUAUUUUCCCAAAAGAUUAUAUAUUUAAGAAAAAGUGUCUUGCAACGGAACUGAGAAAGAAGGAGGCUACAUUUAAUGUUACAGCAUUUAGAAAUUAUUCAAAAAAUGGUUGGAAAUAGCACUGAGAGCAGAAUGCUCAAAGAAUAGGAUAAGAGAGAAGAAAACAUUGCUAUAUCCUUCUGCCUUGUCUAUUCCCCUUACUUCUUCCUGUAAUGACUUUAAUCCAAGUAUUUCUUACGAGUCUGCCUUGUCCACACUCCUCUUCACUUGAUCUUAGUGCUUAGACUUUUUUUUUUUUUUUUGGCAAAAACUACGCCAAAAUAUGCUACUGAGUUUAGCAGCCAAAACCCUGAUGUUUACUUUGGUAAAUGUAGAUUACUCUGAAGCUGUACCUUAUUUUAUGCAGUAGAUUUCUGAAAAAGUUACAUGUAAUUUCCAUAAAUAAAGUAUUUUAAGGGAAAAGGUGGGUUAUUUCCUUCUUCAAUGAAUUUUUUAAUAAAGUGAAGAAUUCUCUGGUAAGGCAAAUAAUCAUUCUUCAAAUAAUAUCACAGCGCCCCUCCCCAAAUCAGAUUUGCCAGAGAUGAGUUCUACUACUAUAAUAUGAUGGACAGUCUGAGUAAGGUCUCACUACAAAGAUAAUUUAGAAGAAUUUCUUGGUCAGGCAUUCACUAUUCUAAUUAUUGCUAGUCACCUUAUUUUACGUGGUCCGAGACCAAAAGGUCAUGGUAUGAUUUUGACAAUCUAUGCAUAAUUUACACGUUAGGGUCUGGUUCAGAAUAGGACUAUAACUUUAUGAAGUCACCUUUGAAUAUGAAAUAUCAUUUUUUAAUAAAUUUGUUUCAGGGGGAAAAACUAGCAUACGCUCCUACCCUCUUACUUAUACCUCCCUCCCCUACAACAAAAGAAUUUUUUUUUUAAAGAAAAGGUAAUGAAUAAAUGCUAUGUUUCCCAUGAUAAAGGGGAAAAAAAGCCUAGAAAGAUAUGAAACACACUAAUAUUAACAGGAUAACAUACCUAUGAUACUUUCAAAAUGACAAGGCUUGAUUUUAAAAAUUGAUCUUUAACAAGAAAAAGAAAUAUGGGCAAUUAGGAAGUAAUGAAGACCCUGUCAAUAUAGCUAUGUUGAUAAUAACAGGUAAGGGAAUUCUUGAGAAAAUCUAAUAUAUAAAAAUCAGGAGGUCUGUAAUAUGCAUUAUUGAGUCCCAGUGGGAUUAACUAAUGAAUUUAUAAGCUCACCAGCAGUUAUUUUUAGAAAGUUAUAAAGAAUUAGAGAAAUAUUAGAGCAUGGAAAAAUAAUGUGCCUUCUAAAAAGAAAGAAAAUAUAUAUUACUACUAAAAUUCAUUUUAAAAUGAAUUCUAGAGGUUCUAAGGAGAAUAUCAUUAAAAUAUAUAAAAAUUUAUCAGUAUUUGAACAGAGAAGGGCUUCUAAUGGAGACACUCUAAGUUAGAAGAUACAGGUGAGACUCAGCUACACUGAGUAUAGCUAUACUCAGCUACUCUCUGAAGUGGGGUAGGGUGUUUGUUGAGGGAAAUGCCAAAAGCAGCUCAGUAAACAUGCUGCAUGGUCUGGUUAAAUUACUUGUGUUAAGAUACAGGUAAGUCUCUGUCCACUGCUAACACUGUGCAUACUGUUAAAGCUGAGACUGAGUUGAGACCCUAAAGGCAAGUUGUCAAGCUUGACCAGAGAUAAGAGGCUGAAAAAAAGACAAAAAAUUAGUGGUUGAAACAUUUGUAGCCCCUGGGGAAGACUGUCCUUUCCUCCAGCUUUGUUUUUGUAUUUCUCAUCUAUGGAAGAGGAGUUGAGGAGUGGUCUGGGAAUGGACAGCUUAAGAACCAAGGCGAAAACGUUGAGAAGUAAACCAGUCUUAGGCAGAGUAGAGAACCUGUAGGAGCUGUGGGUCUCUGACAUCAAACCUGGCAGACCUCUCCAAAGAAACUUCUCCUAACCAAUAAAAAAAUGGAUGCAUUUUAUUGCUUCCAGUUGCCUAUCAAACCCAGAUAGCUGGUGUAGAAGUGCUUUCUUUGGUUUUAAUUCUUGUCUCACCUGCUCCUCUUAGCAUUGCCGUUAAGGCCUGGCCUCCAGGGAUACAUGUUUCCCUUUAAAAUUUGAACCCAGGUAUGGGCAAAAUUUCUCUUUUUCUAGUUUUCUAGUUUCUUUGUCAUUUUCACAAGUAACUUUACAGAAAGAUGGUAAGAGCAAAGAAAUCUAAACAAGAAAUGCAGAGUCGGAGUUCCCGUCGUGGCGCAUUGUGGAUUCUAUUCUAAAGGAUAUAUUUUGUGGGUGGUUUUUCCAGAGGUCGUGUGAGUGAGUAAUUUAUACAUUCACACAUGUAUUCAUUGUGUGCCAGGGACUAUUUCUUUGGGCUGGGGAUGCAGUGGUGAGCAAGAUACAUAAAGACUCUCCUCUUGUAGCAUACAUGUGGGUGAGGAUGGCAGGCAAUCAACAGGUAAAACAAUCGACAUGAUAAUUUCAGAGUCAGAUGCACUGUGAAGAAAACACAAAAGGGGGACGUGAAGAGAAAGAGAAGGAGAGGUGGUCAUCAAUUUUGCUCAGAUGGAGAAGACUUAUGACCUGAGACCAGAAGGGAAUGGAGCCAGGAGAGUGCCACAGGCAGAGUUCUGGAAGAACAGGGGCAGGGAGGGGCUCUGAGGAGGAAAAUGCUGGUCACAGGGAACCAGCUCAUUGGGACCAGCUCAUUGGUCAAAGCUGGAUGCCUGGAGUAUGGUGGCUGAGGGAGAAAGUGGUAGAAGAUGAUUCAGAGAGGUGGGCAGCCUCACUACGUGAGGUCUCUCAAGCUAGAGUGAAACAUUUUAAUUUUAUUCCAAGUACAAUGGAAGAGCUGUCUGCAGAGUUUUUGCAGAGGAGAAAUAUAAUUUGACUGCAUAUAAAAAAGAGUACACUGGUUGGAAAAUGGAGAAUGGAUUAUGGAGAGUUGGAUGAUGGAUUUAACCCUUCCUGAUUGCAUUUAUCAAUUCCUCCCACCUCUAGAUCAUUCUCUGGGGCUCAUUCUUCUCCUGCGCACUUCAGAGUAUAAAACCCACCUACUGCUAGUUCACAUAAAUAAAGUGAGUAAUAGUAGGAUGUAAUAUUAAUAUGCAGUAGGAACUGAAAGACAGCCUAAUGAAAUAAUAUUUCAGAGUAGUGGAGAAAAAAAAUGGAGUUGAACUAGAAAUAGCAUUCUCCUAACAAUUCUGCUUUUGGUAUAUAUGCUGAUACCUCUGGUUUCUUGGCCCUUUGGACUAUGGGAAGGUACUCUGCUGUCACAGUGUUCCAUUUCUGCAAGGCAGAAAGUAACUGGUGGACUUACUAGCCAGGUAGGUGUUUCUACUUUCUUCAUUUCCUUGAAUAGACACAACAUUCUCUCAGUUACUUUAGCUCAAAACUGCUAGGUCAUCUUUGAUUUUGUGGCCUCCUGAUCCCAUCACUUACCAAAUCCUGACAAUUACACCUCAGCAAAGUUUUUCCAAUCUCUUUUUUUCCCCCAUUCCAUUCCCCUGUUACCACCUUUUACUUUAUUUAUUGACCUGUCAUUUAGAAUCCAGAAACUGCCUGCUAACUCAUUUCACUGCCUUCAACCUCUUUUCUAUCCUGUACUUUGCUACCAGAUGAAAAAUUCUAAAGUAUCAUUUGUGUCAUAGACCUCUUUCUAGAUAAGCAUAUCCAAUGGUCUCCAUUAUCUAUCAAAUUAAGUAGAAAUUCCUUCAUGUGGUUUAAAGCCCUUCAUUCCUUGGAUCCAGCCUUCUUUUCUGGGUAAUCUGUCAACUGUUCUUCUGUAAGUAUUCUCUAUUUUCCUAGACCCAGGUCAAUUGACAAUUUUUAAACCUUUUCAAAAUCUCAGGGACUGGACAUCUGUGAUCCUGAGGUCCAGCCAGAGAAGAGGUUGAUCACUACUGCAAAGUUUUUGAAGGCAGGGGUCAAACUUAACUCAUCAAUACAGAUGGAUAAACGUACCCUAUGUUGAACUGCAUGCUAGCUUUCAGAGUGAAGAAAUAAAUUCCUCUAACAAUUAUAAUUUUCCAGACAACAAAUUAAUACCACACACACACAGACACACACAAAUAAAUUCCUCUCAAAUUGGAAUAUCAUGACAGUUAGAUACUUUAUAAGUAAAACUGAAGGAAGUAGAGUCUUCUCCUUGCCCUCUCCAACAAACUGAUGAGGUAGACUCAGGUGAUCCACUAUCCAUGAGCAACUAGUUGAUAAGCACUGACAAAUAACUCAAAGUAUUUUCCAGAUCUCUUUGGCUAAAAUGCAGUGCUUAUCUAACACAUACAAUAUACUAGCAUCAGAAGAUAUUAAGUAAAGUUUAAGAACUGAAAACUCUGAGAGUCAAACUUUAACUGUUCAAGAGCUUAUAUUCCCAAGAUGUGGUUGGCUUGGUUCAAGUUUAGAUGCAGAUAGAAACAUAUCAAAUAUAAGAUAGUAAAGAGAUGGAAAGGACCCAAGAUAAAAUUUCAUCCAACAGUUUCAUUUCACAAGUGAGAAAUCUAAAGUCCAGAGCAGCUGUGAUGGGCCACAGAUACACAGACAUUUUGCUUAAAUAUAGUUAAUAUUUAGAAAGUGAUUAAGCAUUAUAAGAGUAAAAUUUUCAGAAGAUAUACAUCUAAUUGCUUUAAGAUCCAGUUCAAUAUUUACUUCCUCUAAUAAGCCUUCUUUGAUUAACCUCAGCCCAUAGGUUAAAACAACUACUCCCUGUCUUCACGUUUCAGUGUUUUGUAUAUAGUGUAUACUAUAUUAUUAUAUACUUGAUGGAAAACAUCUUGGUUUAUCCCUAAAUAAUUUGAGGGUAAUGCCUCAAAAUUUUUAUUCCUGAAAGUCACAGCUGAGGCUUAAUAAAUGUUUGCUAUAAGAAAACCUGUCCAGGACAGAAACCACCAGAAAAAUGAUGCUUAUUAAGUGCUAUUACAAUAUAAUAAAGCAUAGAUUCGUAGAUUUUUCUAUGAUUUUUACACUAUUUUGAUGAUAGUCUUCAUUUUGAUAUUAAGAAAAAUGAAGCAUACAGACGAUCACGGCAGUAAAAACUAGUGAAUUUACAAAGCUAAGUGCUACUGGUGUGGAAUACAUAGGUGAAUCAUUGUAUAAAACUUUAUAUACAUAGCAUCAUUUUAUAUUGCUGUAUCAGACCUUUGCUGAGCAGCCAAUAGAAGCAGUAAAUGGAGGAUGGAUGAGGUGAUAAGCAGCCAUUAUGGAUUGCCCCAAUCACUUAAUGAUUUGGAAAUGUACUAACGCCUAUAUAGGCCAGUUUGGGGAGAACUAAUGUUUACAAUGCUGAGUCUUGCAAAUUAAUGAAUGUGAUGUAUCUUGCCACUUCUUUAAUGCCUCUCAAUGAAAUUUUAUCACUUUUUCUAUAGAGGAUUUGUACUUCAUUUUUAGAUUCAUUCGUUCAUUUAUAAUUACAUUUUUUAUUUUGAGAUAAUUAUAGAUUCAGUUGAAAGAAAUAACACAAAUGGAUCCUGUGUCCCUUUCAUAAUUUUCCUCAACAGGAACACCUUGUAAGACCAUAUGACAAUCAAGAUGUUAACAUGAUACAGUUAAGAUGCACAGCAUUUCCAUCACCACAAAGAUCACUCAUGUUUCCCUAUAGCCACAUCCACUUCUCUUCCAUCCCCUCCUUAACCCCUAGCAGCCACUAAUCUGUUCUUCAUUUCUGAAAUUUUGGCAUUCUAAGCAUGUUAUAUAAAUGGAAUCAUACAAAUAUGUAACCUCAUGGGAUUGGCUUUUUUCUUUUUUUGGCUGCACCCACAGCAUAUGCAAACUCCCAGGCCAGGGAAUGAAUCUGAGCCAUAGCUAUGGCAACACUGAAUCCUUAACCCACUGUGUUGGGACAGGGAUUCAACCUGUGCCUUGGCAGUGAUUUGAACCACUGCAGUUGUGCCACUGUGCCACAGGGGUAACUCUGGGAUUGGCUUUUGAAAUUCAGCUUAAUUUUCUGGAGAUUUGUCCAGGUUGUUGUGUAAGUCAAUAAUUAGUUCCUUUUUAUUGCUGAGUAGCAUUCCAUGAUAUGGAUGUACCACAGUUUGUUUAACCAUUCCUGUCUCAAAGGAUAUCUGGGUUGUUUUCAGUUUUUUGGCUAUUAUAAAUAAAGCUGCUGUAAACAUUCAUGUAUAAAUUUUUAUGUGAAAUAAUUUUUAUUUUUCUGGGAUAAAUGUCCAAGAGUGCAGUUGCUGGGCUCUAUGUUACUUGCAUGUUUUGUUUUACAAGAAACUGCCACACUGUUUGUCAGAGUCAUAUCCUUCCAGCAAUGUGUGAGUGAUCUAGUUUCUCUGUAUCUCUUCCAGUAAUUUUUUUUUAAUUUUUAUUUAAUGGCCUUGCCUGUGGCAUUUGGAAAUUCGCGGGCCAGGGACUGAAUCUGAGCCACUGCUGUGACCUACCACACAUGCGGGCAAUGCCAGCUCCUUUAACUCACUGUGCCAGGCCAGGGAUUGAACUCCAGCCUCUGCAGCGACCUGUCAGAUUCUUAACCCCACUGAGCCACAGCUGGAACUCCCAGCCAGUAAUGUAUUAAAAUAGGAUAGAUUGAUUCCUCUUACUUUAUUCUUUUUUCAAAAUUGUUUUAAGUAUUUUAGUUCUUUUAACUUUUAUAUAAAUUUUAGAAUAAACUUGUCGAUAUCUAUUGUACAGUAACAAAUUGACCUUGCCCUGAAAGGUUUCAGCUGGAACUCUGGAGUAUCUGGAGAUUAAAGUUAGCCAUGCAGGAGUUCUUGUUGUGGCUCAGUGGGUUAAGAAUCCAAUAUAGUGUCUGUGAGGAUGUGGGUUUGAUCCCUGGCCUCGCUCAGUGCUUUAAGGAUCCUGCAUUGCCAUGAGCUAUGGUGGAGGUUACAGAUGUUGCUUGGAUCCUGUGUUGCUGUGGCCGUUGUGUAGGCUGGCAGCUACAGCUCUGAUUCAGCCACUAGCCUGGGAACUUCCAUAUGCUAAGGGUGUGGCUCUAAAAACGAAAAAAGGUUCAGGUGAAUUUCCCCAGUUUGCACUAUAGUGUGUGUAUUCUCAUCCAAUGUUGCUGGGAGAAGACAGCACUGUGCAUUACUUGACUGGAAGUGAACAACUGGAAAUUCAUCCUUGGAACCUUCCUGGACUCUGCCCUAUGUACGUUUCCUUGCUGAUUUUAGACUAUAUCCUUUUGCUGUACUAGACUGUCACCAUGAACAUAAUAGCUUUCAGGAAGUUCUGAGUCCUUCUGGCAAAUGAUCGCACCUAGAGAUGAUCUUAGGGACACCUGCUUGUGGUAGGUAUGAGAAGUGAGGGUGGUCUUGGAGACUUCAGAAGGUUAUAUCUACAAAAAACCUUGCUGGAAUUUUGACAGAAAUUUUGUUAAAUUUGUAUGUCAACUGGGGAGAAAUGGCAUCUUUACUAUAUUCAGUGAGUAAAUCUAUGAAUAUGACAUGUUUGUUAAUGCUACUAUAAAUGGGUAUUUAACUGCCUGUUGUUGGUAUACAGAAAUGCAACUGACUUCUGUAUAACAAUUUUGUAUCCAGCAACCUUGCUAAAUUGUCCUUGUCCUCCUAAGAAUUUAUCUGUAGAUUUUGAAUUUUCUACAUAAAUGAUUAUAUCACACGUGAAUAAUUUCAGGUUUUUUCUUUUCUAAUUCUUAUAGCUUUUAUUUCUUCCAGUCAUAAAUUUUAGAAAACUUUGAACUAUAAACAACACAGCUGCAAAUGUAACUAAUGAAAUGAAUAAAAUAUAAAGCAAAUUAUUAUGAAUAACAUGAAUAUGGCAUAAGAUUACUACAUUUUCUAUUUUGAUUGAUUUCUUGAUGAUGCACUUAAAAAAAAAAAGACAGUGAAAAAAGAAAAAGUUUUGUCAGGUAAUGUCAUCUAGUUGCUGACUGCUGGUCAUGAAAGCUCCCUGUCAUUUUAUGACAGAUACUGACAGCUUCUGGAGGAUCACUUUGCUCCUAAUACUGUGACUUCUUUUCAUUCUAGUUAAGGUAAUGUAGAAACAGACUAUUUUUGUUACAUUCAGUCUAGAGUUACCCUCACCUGUCUGGUACUACUUAAAUUUCAUUCCCAGUACGCUCCCCCAAGGCAUUUCCUCUCUGAAUGUCCUUUUCUUUAAAAAAAAAAAGAUCCCAUAAUGCAACUGCCGUCUACAUAGGAAGAAUCCUUAAAGGAUUCUGAACGUCUUUCUAUAACACCAUUAAUACAUAUAGAAUAACAUCUUUCAUUAAGAUAAUAAUGAACUGAUUUUAAAUUAAAUACAUAUAUUCUCAAAUAUGUCAUGUAAACAUAGUAAAUGCCUACUAUUUACUAAUUUAGAAAAUGUCAUGGGAACAUAUUAGAUAGGACUGAUUACUUAGGUACCGGAUAAUAUUUUAGAGUAUUAGCUUAAUUCAUGAGCACUUAAAUUAAGUUUAACUAUGGACUGAUUUAUGAUAACAUAGAAUAUAAACAGAUAUGACUAAACAAUUACCAGAAAAGUUUAUGAAAAUUAUUUACAAUUAUAAUCCUUACUGCAUCUAUACUAAAUUUUAUUCUAAAAAGACUUUUUUGGGGGGUCUUUUUAGGGCUGCACCCACAGCAUAUGGAGGUUCCCAGGAUAGGGGUCUAAUCAGAUCUGUAGCUGCCGGCCUAUGCCACAGCCACAGAAACGCCAUAUCUGAGCUGCAUUUGUGACCUUCACCACAACUGGUGGUAACACCCGAUCCUUGAGCUGCUGAGCAGGGCUAGGGAUCGAACUCGCAACCUCAUGAUUCCUAGUUGGAUUCAUUUCCGCUGCACCAUGAUGGGAACUCCUAAAAAGACACUUCAAAACUCUAACUGGACUUUCCACAUAGGCUUUUCUGUAACUGUCCAGAAGAUUCAUAGGCAGAAAUAUUUCACGAUUGCUCAAGGAAUUAAAAUUUCCUUUCUAGGAGUUUCCCAUUGUGGCUCAUUGGGUCAUGAAUCCAUGAGGAUGUGGGUGUGAUCCCUGGCCUCCCUCACUGGGUUAAGGGAUGUGGCAUUGCUGUGAGCUGUGGUGCAGGCUACAGAUGAGGCUGGGAUCUUGUAUUGCUGUGGUUGUGGUAUAGGCUGGCAGCUGCAGCUCCAGCUUGACCCCUAGCCUGGGAACUUCCAUAUGCCACAGGAGCAACCAUUAAAAAAAAAAAAAAAAAAAAA
This 9638-nucleotide long non-coding RNA is filed under the name Sus scrofa (pig). RNAcentral's name for it is "lncRNA (ENSSSCG00065025590.1)". Lineage: Eukaryota; Metazoa; Chordata; Mammalia; Artiodactyla; Suidae. The record is from RNAcentral.